UACGUAGGGGGCUAGCGUUGUCCGGAUUUAUUGGGCGUAAAGAGCGUGUAGGCGGCCAGGUAGGUCUGCUGUGAAAACUCGAGGCUCAACCUCGAGACGUCGGCGGAAACCAUCUGGCUAGAGUCCGGAAGAGGAGAGUGGAAUUCCUGGUGUAGCGGUGAAAUGCGUAGAUAUCGGGAGGAACACCUGUGGCGAAGGCGGCCCCCUGGUUGGAUACUGACGCUGAUACGCGAAAGCGUGGGGAGCAACAGG
RNAcentral lists this ribosomal RNA (252 nucleotides) under uncultured bacterium. Its description in RNAcentral is "partial 16S ribosomal RNA". It matches the Rfam family "Bacterial small subunit ribosomal RNA", at positions 524 to 775 of the family's 1533-position model. The record is from RNAcentral.